GACGAACGCUGGCGGCGUGCCUAAUACAUGCAAGUCGAGCGCGGGAAGCUUGCGGAAUCUUUCGGGAGGAAGUGAGCGGACCGAGCGGCGGACGGGUGAGUAACACGUGGGCAACCUGCCCGUAAGACGGGGAUAACCCCGGGAAACCGGGGCUAAUACCGGAUAGGUGACCUUUCUGCAUGGAGGGGUCAUGAAAGGCGGCGGAAGCCGUCGCUUACGGAGGGGCCCGCGGCGCAUUAGCUAGUUGGUGAGGGAAGGGCUCACCAAGGCGACGAUGCGUAGCCGGCCUGAGAGGGUGAACGGCCACACUGGGACUGAGACACGGCCCAGACUCCUACGGGAGGCAGCAGUAGGGAAUCUUCCGCAAUGGACGGAAGUCUGACGGAGCAACGCCGCGUGAGUGAGGAAGGCCUUCGGGUCGUAAAGCUCUGUUGUUCGUGAAGAAGGGGUUGGCCAGGAAAUGGGCCGACAUGGACGGUAGCGAA
This 485-nucleotide ribosomal RNA is filed under the name Bacillus sp. oral taxon F28. RNAcentral describes it as "bacterial SSU rRNA". It matches the Rfam family "Bacterial small subunit ribosomal RNA", at positions 28 to 482 of the family's 1533-position model. The record is from RNAcentral. Lineage: Bacteria; Bacillati; Bacillota; Bacilli; Caryophanales; Bacillaceae.